This 422-nucleotide long non-coding RNA is filed under the name Piliocolobus tephrosceles (Ugandan red Colobus). Its description in RNAcentral is "lncRNA (ENSPTEG00000017558.1)". The record is from RNAcentral. Lineage: Eukaryota; Metazoa; Chordata; Mammalia; Primates; Cercopithecidae.
UAAAAGUUUUCACAUGUUUAAUCUUUAACCUAAAAAUAAUUUUAUUCUCAGUUAUUCCUACAAGUUCUUAAUUCUUAUAAUGAUUGUUGCUACUAUAAUUAUUUUAUUUUUAUUUUAUUAUUUUAUUUUUUUUUUUUCAUAGUGCAACAAAUGGAAAUAAUAAAAGAGAUGUCAGAUGAGCUUAAAAGCAAAUCAGAGUUACUUCCAACUCCUCAGGACAUUUCUAAUAAAAUUCACAAAGUAGACAAAGGUUUUAUUGAUAAAUUGAAUAAAGACAUAAUUGAUGAAAUAAAUUUAGCACAACAUAAACCACAUGUAUGUGAUGAACCAAAUUAUGAACGAGAUUAUUCAUACUUGUGUCCACAAGGUACUGCGUAAAAUGCAAAAAUAAAAAAAAAAUAAAAAAAAAAAAAAAAAAAAAA